This is a long non-coding RNA of Dermacentor andersoni, 702 nucleotides long. RefSeq lists it as uncharacterized. The record is from RefSeq and is a predicted model, not a curated record. NCBI's taxonomy places the organism in Eukaryota, Metazoa, Arthropoda, Arachnida, Ixodida, Ixodidae.
CCCUCGUCGCUUCCACAGUUUCGGGUUCAGCGAGCGGUCAACUUAUGGCUGGAGCAGCUCACCCGUGACCCUGCAUCUCAAAAUGCCGGCAUCUGUUUCAUUCUUGACUUCGGUGGCUGGUCAUUCUCCAAGAUUCGGGCGUGUGAAAUAGGCCUCGCCAGGAAAGCUAUUCGGCUUUUGCAGGACGGCCUACCACUGGAAAUCACAAGAGCGCAUGUGUUGAGACAGCCAAGGACUUUCAGCAUAUUUUUCUCACUUCUGAAACCAUUCAUCAGCAAGGACGAAAUAUCCAGGUUCCACCUACACGGCGAAGACUUCGGAAACCUCCACGCUGAAGUUCCAAAGAAUAUACUUCCCAAGGAAUACGGAGGUACAGCUGUAUUUGACUUCGAGGGCCUCUGGGAACGUCUGCGGGGGCAAGACAGCUGAGAAACUGGAUUACAACCAAAAAUGCACCCAACAAACCCAGUUUCCUGCAUCUGCCUUCUGCUGUGUGCUGUAUAGAUGUCUGAUACAUCGACCUGGGGUUUCGAUCCUUAAAACAACAUGUGAGCGGUACGCUAGUCAGUAUAACCACAAAUUGCGAUUUCCAUUUAUUUGUACGCAUGUAAAGAAAUAAGCAAAUGUGUCACCUUUCUUUUUUUCGUUCGAUGUUUUUCGGAUGACUGUCAGCACAGCCAUCUGGCUCGUAUGGAUAAAGUU